Molecule: ribosomal RNA, 474 nt
Filed under: uncultured bacterium
Lineage: Bacteria
Description: bacterial SSU rRNA
Rfam family: Bacterial small subunit ribosomal RNA
Source: RNAcentral
ACUCCUACGGGAGGCAGCAGUAGGGAAUCUUCCACAAUGGGCGCAAGCCUGAUGGAGCAACACCGCGUGAGUGAAGAAGGGUUUCGGCUCGUAAAGCUCUGUUGUUAAAGAAGAACACGUAUGAGAGUAACUGUUCAUACGUUGACGGUAUUUAACCGGAAAGUCACGGCUAACUACGUGCCAGCAGCCGCGGUAAUACGUAGGUGGCAAGCGUUAUCCGGAUUUAUUGGGGCGUAAAGAGAGUGCAGGCGGUUUUCUAAGUCUGAUGUGAAAGCCUUCGGCUUAACCGGAGAAGUGCAUCGGAAACUGGAUAACUUGAGUGCAGAAGAGGGUAGUGGAACUCCAUGUGUAGCGGUGGAAUGCGUAGAUAUAUGGAAGAACACCAGUGGCGAAGGCGGCUACCUGGUCUGCAACUGACGCUGAGACUCGAAAGCAUGGGUAGCGAACAGGAUUAGAUACCCUGGUAGGAUACCG